Chinchilla lanigera (long-tailed chinchilla) is the source of this 2107-nucleotide long non-coding RNA. RefSeq lists it as uncharacterized. The record is from RefSeq and is a predicted model, not a curated record. Lineage: Eukaryota; Metazoa; Chordata; Mammalia; Rodentia; Chinchillidae. The transcript is spliced from 5 exons.
AAGAAUGAAACCCAGGAUCCUGAAAAUUAGUGGCUGACUGCUCUGAGUAAUGAUGGUGAAGGAAGAUAACAUUUCAGGAGGCAAAAGGCAACUUGUAACAGAAAGUGAUUUUGCAUGAAAGAUGAUCAUGGCAGCACUAUGCACACUCACCAUGAAGUAGAAACAACUCAAGUGUCCAUCAGCUGGUGAACUGAUAACAAAAAUAUAUAUGCACACCAUGGAACAGUGUUCGGCUACAAAAGAUUGAAAUUUUGUCAUUUGUGACAACCUGGAUGAAACUGGAGACUGUUAUGUUAAGUGACAAUCCAAACAUGGAGAGAUAAGUACCACAUGAACUGACUCAUACAUAGGUUACAAAAAAGCUGGUAUCAUAGAGUUAAGAGUAGAGCAGAGGUCACCAGAGGGUGAGGGGAAGGGGAAGAGGUAGGGAUGUGAGCGUGUGAUACAUGCAUGUUGUUACAAUUUUAUGAGCAACAGAUUCUGCUGUGCUAUUGAAUAGUACGAUGACUAUAGAUGAUAAUGUACUACAAUUUUAAAAAUCUAGAAGAAGGGAGUUUGAAUAUUUCCCCAUAAGGAAAUGAUGAGUAUUUGAGGAAAUAGAUAUGCUUAUCUUGAUUUAAGCAUUAGACAGUGUACACAGGUAUCAAAAUAUCAUAUGGAGCCCCAUAAAUAUGUACAAUUUUUAUGUUUCUACAUAUUAAAAAUAACUUUAAAUUAAAAAUCUGUCUCAUAAGUAGGUCUUUGGCAUGUCUGCGAGUUGCUCAUAGGAUAAAUAUUCUGAAAUUGAAUUGCCACAUCAAAAUGCAUUUGAUUUGAUAACUUUUGCUAAAUUGCCUUCUGUGGAACUUGUACCAGUUUUCACUUUCACCAGCAAUGCCCAAGAAUACCUUUUACUCAUAUCUUUGCCAGUGUAGAGUGUUUUUAAUGUCUGGGUUUUGCUAGUCAAAUUUUAUAUAUAUAUAAAUAUAUAUAUAUGCACACACACAUACACACACACAUAUAUAAGUUACUUUUAUCUACUAUCUACAAAGGGUGAAAUUGAGCAAGUUGUUGUGUGGUUUGUACUCCUUUGAGCUUUCUGUUAUUAGAGUUUGUUUUCUUACAGAAAGUCGUUCUUUUUCAUUGAUUUAUAUGGUGUUUAUAGUUUAGGAAAAUUAAUUUUUAUCUGACAGAGAAUUGCAAAUAUUCUUGCAGUCUGGCAAAGGUGUUCUAAUUUUGCUCUUGUUGCUAUUUAGCAAUUGUCUUUUGGCUUUACUUUUAGAGAUAAUUGCAAGAAGAAAAAAAUUAUUUCUCCAAUUUGUCAAUUGGAAAAGUUACAUGUUCUAACUUUUACAUGUUUGUAGAGCUACUUUUAUUUUUUUUUUUAGGGAUAUGCACAGGAAUGCAAGAACUACUAGGACAGGCUGUGUAUAUCGAUGAGGACUCAGUGAAGAAAUGAAAUGGUGUUUUAAGGAAAAUGGGAGUUCAUACAGGAGAGCAGAUGCCAACUAAAAGUGGACAGUAGAUUUCCGAAAUGACUCCCUCCCCAGGAAAAUGAAGCUACUACCUCCUUGACCUCCACCAGUUCUAUGAUGCCAAGACACACCCUGUAGCUGUGACCUGAGAAGAGAAAGGCAGAAUCAGUAAGUAACAGCAACAUGGAAGAAAGUCUGUCACAUAUGGAAUACUUUUUAACUAUUUAAUGCAGAUGAAAUGUAAUUUUUCAUCUCUCCAGCAACUUUGUCGUUUAUCUGAAAAUGACUUUUUUGACCUACUGAUGCUACUUAAUCAUUUCUACUACAGAAAAUCCUACCUAGAAGAGCUGGCAUUAACUUUGGAACAAAAGAGCCCUAAUGCACUCAAGGGUGAAAUCUUUUAUUAUUACUACUCAGUUCUCAAGGAUCCAUGAUGUCCUCAGCAGGUGCAAUCUUGCCCUGGGGCAACACAGCAUCAGGGACGCUUAAGACCUCAGCUGUGACCACACACACGGAGUUACGUUUCUGCAUACCAUAGCUGACUUGCACAGCAAGAUAUAGGUGUCAGACAAGGCCUAAUCACAAUUUAAUUAUGGAAUGAUUUCCCCCAAAAUUAUAUAGAAUGGCCCUUGGCAAUAUAACAUAAAUUGAUC